GGCUGUGUGGAGGAACUGGUAGACUCGCCAUCUUGAGGGGGUGGUGUCAUCAAGACGUGUCAGUUCGAAUCUGAUCACAGUCA
RNAcentral lists this transfer RNA (83 nucleotides) under Paenimyroides baculatum. RNAcentral's name for it is "Flavobacterium sp. SNL9 tRNA-Leu". Lineage: Bacteria; Pseudomonadati; Bacteroidota; Flavobacteriia; Flavobacteriales; Flavobacteriaceae. The record is from RNAcentral.